Molecule: ribosomal RNA, 544 nt
Filed under: uncultured bacterium
Lineage: Bacteria
Description: bacterial SSU rRNA
Rfam family: Bacterial small subunit ribosomal RNA
Source: RNAcentral
AGAGUUUGAUCCUGGCUCAGGACGAACGCUGGCGGCGUGCCUAACACAUGCAAGUCGAACGGAAUUAAGUUUAACACCGAACACUUAGUUUGGUGGAAAAGCACUGAGUAGUCGGUGUUGAACUUAGUUUAGUGGCGGACGGGUGAGUAACGCGUGAGUAACCUGCCUUUCAGAGGGGGAUAACGUCUGGAAACGGACGCUAAUACCGCAUAACAUAUUUGUGUCACAUGGCAUGAAUAUCAAAGGAGCAAUUCGCUGAAAGAUGGACUCGCGUCCGAUUAGCUAGUUGGUGAGAUAACAGCCCACCAAGGCGACGAUCGGUAGCCGGACUGAGAGGUUGAACGGCCACAUUGGGACUGAGACACGGCCCAGACUCCUACGGGAGGCAGCAGUGGGGGAUAUUGCACAAUGGAGGAAACUCUGAUGCAGCAACGCCGCGUGAGGGAAGACGGUUUUCGGAUUGUAAACCUCUGUCUUUGGUGAAGAUAAUGACGGUAGCCAAAGAGGAAGCUCCGGCUAACUACGUGCCAGCAGCCGCGGUAAU